RNAcentral lists this ribosomal RNA (800 nucleotides) under uncultured bacterium. RNAcentral's name for it is "bacterial SSU rRNA". It matches the Rfam family "Bacterial small subunit ribosomal RNA", at positions 32 to 834 of the family's 1533-position model. The record is from RNAcentral.
GACGGGGCGGCGUGCCUACACAUGCAAGUCGAACGGGGUAUAUAAGCGGAAGUUUACGGAUGGAAGGUUAUAUACUUAGUGGCGGACGGGUGAGUAACGCGUGGGCAACCUGCCCCGUGCCGGGGGAUACCGCCUGGAAACAGGCGCUAAUACCGCAUAAGCGCAUACAGCCGCAUGGGUGUAUGCGGAAAGCUCCGGCGGCACGGGAUGGGCCCGCGCCCGAUUAGCCAGUUGGCGGGGUAACGGCCCACCAAAGCGACGAUCGGUAGCCGGCCUGAGAGGGCGGACGGCCACAUUGGGACUGAGACACGGCCCAAACUCCUACGGGAGGCAGCAGUGGGGAAUAUUGCACAAUGGGGGAAACCCUGAUGCAGCAACGCCGCGUGGGUGAAGGAGCGUUUCGGCGCGUAAAGCCCUGUCAGCGGGGAAGAAGAAAGACGGUACCCGACCAAGAAGCCCCGGCUAACUACGUGCCAGCAGCCGCGGUAAUACGUAGGGGGCGAGCGUUAUCCGGAAUUACUGGGUGUAAAGGGAGCGUAGACGGCGAGGUAAGCCUGAAGUGGAAGCCCGCGGCCCAACCGCGGAACUGCUUUGGGAACUGUUUUGCUGGAGUAUGGGAGGGGUAAGCGGAAUUCCUGGUGUAGCGGUGAAAUGCGUAAAUAUCAGGAGGAACACCGGUGGCGAAGGCGGCUUACUGGACCAUAACUGACGUUGAGGCUCGAAAGCGUGGGGAGCGAACAGGAUUAGAUACCCUGGUAAUCCACGCCGUUAACGAUGAUUUACAGGUGUCGGGUGUCGAA